This is a long non-coding RNA of Dinoponera quadriceps, 882 nucleotides long. RefSeq lists it as uncharacterized. The transcript has 3 exons. NCBI's taxonomy places the organism in Eukaryota, Metazoa, Arthropoda, Insecta, Hymenoptera, Formicidae. The record is from RefSeq and is a predicted model, not a curated record.
AAAAAAUCUAAGAUUUCAUCAUCAAGAUUGGUUAAUUAAAUGUUACUUUACCUAUCAAGUAGUGUUUCCGAGCGCAAUCUUGUGUGUUUCCGAACGCAAUCCUGCACGUAAGAGAAUUAGUCCCAAAUUUCCGCUAUGAGUCGCCACCAUCCUUACCGAAGAAUUCGGUCAUAGUAUAACUCGACACAAGCCAGAUUCUAUCGAAUGUUUUAUUUUUCAAAUAGCGCGACUCCACGACUGCUGAAACGUACUUUUCCAUUAUAUGAAACAGGGAAGUUACAGUUCGCUGAAGUUUAAAGGCAAAUUGAAUUUAGCGGUAAAUUUAUCUUCACCUGCUUCUACCAGGCGACGCUUAUUUUAAUGAUCUCGCCGGCAACACGUUGGUUUGCCUUCUUUAGUCAGUCUCACAAUGUUUGUAACAGAUUACCAGGGGAGCGAUGUAACAGUUUCCGGUGUUAUAUAUUUCUGUAAACAAAUAUCAUCUUUGCAAUAAUUUCACAAAUAUCUGAAAUAAUCAGAGAAAAGAGUGAAAUUUUAAUAUGAUAUCAAGAGGAACCGUUCGACAAAUUUUUUUCACCGGACAUCACGUGUCUCAGCGAAAUAGCAAGAAAGAAAUGUGAAACACGAGAACUGUGUUCGUGAACGUUAACGUUGUAAUCGCCGAAUAAGCGAUAUAUAAUCGUUUGAUUCAUCGUGAUGUUCACUGUGCGUGUCAAGCGGCUUUCUAAAGAAAAUAAAAAUCUCCGAUUAAUGCAAACGUUUACGAGAAAUUAUCAAACAUACAUGAAUUCGGAAAUUUUGCUUCUUCUUGCAAAUGUGCUAAAAAUAAAGGCGGAUCCAAAGAUCGACGUAGAUUUUACGAGAGGAAUGUCGGCGUUGUCG